AAAACAAACAAAACAAAAACACAUCUGGGAAACACUGCCACAACUAAAACUUGGAUACGCAGCAUUUAUAUAUAUUUUUAAAAUAUUUCCUUUACAGCUUGUCUUAAUGACUUUUGUCUUAUAUACGUCUGCCUUCCCUUGGACUGUUCUGAUUGGCUGUUGUUUAGGGAGGCUAUUUGGUUGUGAGGUUAUAAAAGAGGAAAAAAGAAAUGGAGUUUUAACUGACUACACCUCCACUUCAUUUCCCCAACGCCACAUCAAAGAAAGGUAAGCCAACUGUUCUGUCUCUUAUUCUGUUGCUCUACAUAUUCAUUUAAUGUUGUUUAUGAUUUGUCUGUCUGUGCGAGUGUGAAAUAAUUUUUUUUUAUUUUCUAAAUGUGUGUCGUCAUUAGGAACAGUUGGAAGUGCUGUCAUACUUUACAAGAAUAAUAAAAAGCAAAUAUGGAAAAGGAAAAAUGACUGACUCAGUUAUUACAAAAGUUCAGUUUUCAUCAGCCCUGCGUGUUUGUCUCAAUAUACAAAUAAUAAUGAUAAUAUCAGAUGUCUAUGGUAACAGAAUAACACAAACUAGUACUGCUGUUCAUCAUCCCAGCUAAAUUGAUUUUAAACACAUUACUCGGUCAAUGUUGUUUUCUUUCUUUCACUGUAGACAAAAUGAACUUUGCUGUCUUGACUGCCAUGGUCACUGUAGCCCUUGUCCAUCUGGGCACUACGAACUCUUUACCUUGUCAAGGCACAAGCCUCCGAAGUAAAUAUGACGAAUUUAUCAGAAGACACAUCCUUCAAGAUGAAUUUAACCGAAGUCUUCCAAGAGAGUGGGAGAAAUAUUUGAAAAAGAAAGGCCUCUGGUGCAGAACUCCAGUGCAGUCCUUCAUCGAGAGCAGAGAUCGGGUGAAUAUCGAUAGGAUCUGCAGCCGAAAUGGUCGACGUCUAAUUAAUGCCUUCCCAGAUAACUUGUGUAUCAGUAGUUCAAACAUACUGGUACAUGACAUCCAGUUUGUAAAUGGUUGUGAACUUAAUGUGAUAUCACAUCAAAAGCCUGUGAUUGUAGCCUGCAAUAAUGUUGAAAACCGCUGCCGCCCUGUGCAUUUUGAGAGAUACCAACAGCAAAUGCCAAGCAAUAUGCCCUGCAUGUAGCCACAGUUUUGCACUAUUUGAUGUACUAAUUAGUCAAUCGGGCUUUUCAAGUAUAAUCUCAAUCAAAUAAAUGAAUAAAUGUAUCCUACAGAGCUUGCUGAAUGGUGCAACUCUGAGUAUCUGUCUUCAUGUUUAUUAAAUGUAACAGUGAGUUCCUGUUCAAAUAAUGUGAGUAAAUGUUCAGAGUCAUUAUUGUCAGUCAUUGUUUUCAUUUUUAGAAUGUUGGCUUUAUUCUUUGUCAAUUUGGUUAAAUAUUUCAACACAAUUAACAUAAAGAGUGAAUCUUACGCAUUUUUGUUGUAAUUGGGAAGUCGUCAUUACUGGGAUUCAGUCUUGUUCUCCAAGUGCUGUGCUAUAGCCAGUCUGGCUUCUAUCUGGAAUCCAUUUUUAAGCACAUGUAAAACAAUUAUAAAACAGUUGUCAGCUUUUCUUGUCUUUCAGCUGUUAAUACCAACAAAUAUUUGGGGGGGGGGGGGGGGGGGGGGGGGUUGCAGAGCAUGUCUGUAAGACCCAGUGACUAUGAGUUAUGAGUUUUGCAUACAGCGGCAUAAAUUUGCUUGUCUUGCUGCAGCUGCAGGAACACUGCAUUUUCCUCUGUUAUAAGCUGUGUUACAUGCUUAAGUAAAUUAUAAAGGAUGCUUUUCUA
This is a long non-coding RNA of Astatotilapia calliptera (eastern happy), 1783 nucleotides long. The record is from Ensembl. NCBI's taxonomy places the organism in Eukaryota, Metazoa, Chordata, Actinopteri, Cichliformes, Cichlidae.